Molecule: long non-coding RNA, 191 nt
Organism: Schistocerca serialis cubense
Lineage: Eukaryota; Metazoa; Arthropoda; Insecta; Orthoptera; Acrididae
Exons: 3
Source: RefSeq, a predicted model, not a curated record
AGAUUCUGCAAGGUCCUUUGAUGAACCUGAUGGAGAUGCUGGUGCUAUCCCGAAAUCUGGAAGACAACGAUCUGCAAGUUUUUCGAGGAAGAACUCUGGAGUAGGCAAAGCAACUUCACCAGGGCCGGGAUCUAAAACCAGGCGUUCGGCCUCCUUUAAACGUCAAUUGGUUACUGCGUCAUCUGCACCAG